AGUGAACGCUGGCGGUAGGCCUAACACAUGCAAGUCGAACGGCAGCACAGUAAGAGCUUGCUCUUACGGGUGGCGAGUGGCGGACGGGUGAGGAAUACAUCGGAAUCUACUUUUUCGUGGGGGAUAACGUAGGGAAACUUACGCUAAUACCGCAUACGACCUACGGGUGAAAGCAGGGGAUCUUCGGACCUUGCGCGAUUGAAUGAGCCGAUGUCGGAUUAGCUAGUUGGCGGGGUAAAGGCCCACCAAGGCGACGAUCCGUAGCUGGUCUGAGAGGAUGAUCAGCCACACUGGAACUGAGACACGGUCCAGACUCCUACGGGAGGCAGCAGUGGGGAAUAUUGGACAAUGGGCGUAAGCCUGAUCCAGCCAUACCGCGUGGGUGAAGAAGGCCUUCGGGUUGUAAAGCCCUUUUGUUGGGUAAGAAAAGCAGCAGGUUAAUACCCCGCUGUUCUGACGGUACCCAAAGAAUAAGCACCGGCUAACUUCGUG
This 492-nucleotide ribosomal RNA is filed under the name uncultured bacterium. Its description in RNAcentral is "partial 16S ribosomal RNA". It matches the Rfam family "Bacterial small subunit ribosomal RNA", at positions 29 to 507 of the family's 1533-position model. The record is from RNAcentral.